Long non-coding RNA from Malurus melanocephalus (red-backed fairy wren), 828 nucleotides. RefSeq lists it as uncharacterized. The record is from RefSeq and is a predicted model, not a curated record. The transcript is spliced from 5 exons. Lineage: Eukaryota; Metazoa; Chordata; Aves; Passeriformes; Maluridae.
CGCCCCGCCAAACUUUCGACGGGACCUGUGCGCCCCGACGGCCGGGGCCGGGCAGGGAGCGGGGCGGCCGCGCGUUCCGCCGGGGACGCGCCGGGGCUGCGGCCACUCCCGCGUCGGGUGUGCCCGUGGGGGGGGCGGGAGGGCAGGUGAAGGGACCGUGGGGUGAGGGCGGUCCCCUCCUUCCCUUUUGGUUUCUUUGGGACGGAUGCGGUCGGCCCCAUCUUUGCGCUUUACGCAACAGAGAUUUACUCAACUUUCUUCGAGCUCUCCCGCCGCUUAAAAGCAAAGAGCCCCGCCGUAGGCUUCUGAGGAAAUCUGGUUUCACAGUUCAGAGAAAGGAGAAGGUCAUAAUUUGAUUGUUGGGAAAAUGCGAUGGUUGCCAGAACACCAGUCUGUGAUGGGUGCCAUAUUGCAUCACUGUUAGAAUGGUGGAAUACAGCUUGGGAUUCUUCAGGGCUGCUUAACAUGGUUCAAACUGGCCCAUACAGCUGCUUUACAUCUUAACUGCUUGGAUUCAUACUAAUGUUAAUGGUCUCCUGGAGGAAGUGGAAAACCCCCAUGCUGAAACUUGUGGAUAUUGUGGAACAUGCUGCUGAGACCCAUUUGGAUUAUAUUGCCAUCUGACACCAAAGUUUUGCAGCUGAUGAAAGGAGUUCACCAGAUCUCUUUGUUAUGUGGUUGCUGAAGCAUUAUCCUGGGACAGCAGUAAUGAUGGAUAGAUGAACAGAACUCACUUCAGUGGACACUGUUUAUAAGGAGCUCUGUGUUAUCUACUCUGAGUACAAGGAUGCAUUCUUCUGUUUGUUCAUGGAAUCACAGAAUCACAGA